AUACGGAGGGUGCAAACGUUGUUCGGAAUCACUGGGCGUAAAGGGCGCGCAGGCGGUUUGAUUAGUCAGAUGUGAAAGCCCACGGCUUAACCGUGGAAGUGCAUUUGAAACUGUCAGACUUGAGUACCUGAGGGGGUAGUGGAAUUCCCGGUGUAGAGGUGAAAUUCGUAGAUAUCGGGAGGAAUACCGGUGGCGAAGGCGACUACCUGGCUGGAUACUGACGCUGAGGCGCGAAAGCGUGGGGAGCAAACAGAAUUAGAAACCCCGGUAGUCC
Molecule: ribosomal RNA, 274 nt
Filed under: uncultured bacterium
Lineage: Bacteria
Description: partial 16S ribosomal RNA
Rfam family: Bacterial small subunit ribosomal RNA
Source: RNAcentral